CUGCUUCUUCUCGAGCUCGUGACUCCGGCUUUGCUGGUCCUCCAGCUGGAGGCGGGUGUCCUCCAGGUCGCAGGUCAGAUGGUGGCACUUCCUCUUUAGCUGCUGCCAUUUCUGAGGGAGGAAGCUACUUCUCUGACCCCGUCUGCUCAAGAGGUGCCCCAUAGAGUCUUUACAAGCCCUGCCUCCAAAGGAAGACUGAGGGCUGUAUACCUAAUAACCCCAGCAGCCGGCAUCAUCCCAGAGCCCAUGUGGGGAUUAGCCAUGGAGCAGCCAAAAUGGCGGCCGUAGAAGAUCUGGCCAGGAGAUCUGACAGAUGGGCUCUGAAGGUUAGAGCAGUAAAUGGCCCUUCCGACGGGAUGAAUUACACGGGGAUACACAUGACCGUGAACAAACAGAAAAGCAAAGCCUCUUGCAUCUUUCUCGAGGAACCCCCCCCCCAAUGUCCUCGUUUGAAUCUGGGAGAGAGGACAACUCAGCACACUCGCUUUGAAGAAAUGGCCUCAUUAAAGAAUUUCUUUAAAUAA
Long non-coding RNA from Herpailurus yagouaroundi (jaguarundi), 524 nucleotides. RefSeq lists it as uncharacterized. The record is from RefSeq and is a predicted model, not a curated record. Lineage: Eukaryota; Metazoa; Chordata; Mammalia; Carnivora; Felidae. The transcript is spliced from 4 exons.